UACGUAGGGACCAAGCGUUGUUCGGAUUUACUGGGCGUAAAGGGCGCGUAGGCGGCGUGGUAAGUCACUUGUGAAAUCUCUGAGCUUAACUCAGAACGGCCAAGUGAUACUGCUGUGGCUAGAGUCCGGUAGGGGAGCAUGGAAUUCCUGGUGUAGCGGUGAAAUGCGCAGAUAUCAGGAAGAACACCCGUGGCGAAGGCGGCUCUCUGGGACGGUACUGACGCUGAGACACGAAAGCGUGGGGAGCGAACAGG
RNAcentral lists this ribosomal RNA (254 nucleotides) under uncultured bacterium. Its description in RNAcentral is "partial 16S ribosomal RNA". It matches the Rfam family "Bacterial small subunit ribosomal RNA", at positions 524 to 776 of the family's 1533-position model. The record is from RNAcentral.